RNAcentral lists this ribosomal RNA (253 nucleotides) under uncultured bacterium. RNAcentral's name for it is "partial 16S ribosomal RNA". It matches the Rfam family "Bacterial small subunit ribosomal RNA", at positions 524 to 776 of the family's 1533-position model. The record is from RNAcentral.
UACGGAGGGUGCAAGCGUUAUCCGGAUUCACUGGGUGUAAAGGGUGCGUAGGAGGGCAGGUAAGUCAGUGGUGAAAUCCCCGAGCUUAACUUGGGAACUGCCGUUGAUACUAUCUGUCUUGAAUAUUGUGGAGGUGAGCGGAAUAUGUCAUGUAGCGGUGAAAUGCUUAGAUAUGACAUAGAACACCAAUUGCGAAGGCAGCUCGCUACACAUAUAUUGACUCUGAGGCACGAAAGCGUGGGGAUCAAACAGG